ACUGCCAUAUUCCUGACUUGGUAAAGGACAUUUGAAGAAACAAUGGUGGGUUGAACCUUGUUUUACGGGUAGCCAAACGUCCUGCUGACAUGUUUAAAUAUAUCGCUAAAAAGAUAACAUUACAUGAUAGGAAUUCAGUACAAGCAUACGAAAGAAUACUCCGCAUAGAGAACUGCAUUAAUCAAUAAUAUAAUGGUACAUUACAAC
RNAcentral lists this long non-coding RNA (207 nucleotides) under Mytilus galloprovincialis (Mediterranean mussel). Lineage: Eukaryota; Metazoa; Mollusca; Bivalvia; Mytilida; Mytilidae. The record is from RNAcentral.